This is a long non-coding RNA of Monomorium pharaonis (pharaoh ant), 569 nucleotides long. RefSeq lists it as uncharacterized. The transcript has 3 exons. The record is from RefSeq and is a predicted model, not a curated record. NCBI's taxonomy places the organism in Eukaryota, Metazoa, Arthropoda, Insecta, Hymenoptera, Formicidae.
UGAUAAUUAUUGUAACAUGGAUGAGUCGAUCCAGGCGAAACCAAGGGUACCUCGUACUCAGUCGAUGCUGUCUUGCAAUCAGACCGUCGGAUCAGAUUGUCGGGCAUCGGGUUCUCCUCCGCAAAGCAAUAAGACGGAUGAAGCGACAGAAUCAAAGGACUGAUUCAACUGAUGACGCUGGUUUGUACCAUCAACAUUAGAAGAAGCAAUAGAACCUGUUUCUAAAGCUGAAAGAUCUUUUAAUCCGUCGGAAUCGUACAAUUCAUUUAAUGUUGGGUUCUUAGAUUGGUCAUCAUUUGAGGAAAUAAUGGUAUUGGAAGAAGUAUUCGUACUGGAAGAUGACGAUUGAAUUUGGUCACUACUAGAAGAUUCGUUUGUGUUAAUGAUACCGCAAUUCGUCAAAUUCGUCCUUUUGUGCUUUAUUAUCUCCGGUACUUUCCAACGAGAUCUAGACUUGCAUGUUUUGUUACUUGUAUUGAAUUCAAGGGAAUUAUUUGUACUACUUUUAGACAUUUCGCUAUUUAUAUCAUCUUUAUUAGAUAUAUUAGAGAUAAUUGACUCCAAAUCCG